This 25-nucleotide non-coding RNA is filed under the name Cricetulus griseus (Chinese hamster). Lineage: Eukaryota; Metazoa; Chordata; Mammalia; Rodentia; Cricetidae. The record is from RNAcentral.
CUGAACAUGGGGGAAAGAGACAGAU